Molecule: ribosomal RNA, 811 nt
Filed under: uncultured bacterium
Lineage: Bacteria
Description: bacterial SSU rRNA
Rfam family: Bacterial small subunit ribosomal RNA
Source: RNAcentral
AGGAGUUUGAUCCUGGCUCAGAUUGAACGCUGGCGGCAGGCUUAACACAUGCAAGUCGAGCGGGGGAAGUUGCUUCGGUAACUGACCUAGCGGCGGACGGGUGAGUAAUACUUAGGAAUCUGCCUAUUAAUGGGGGACAACAUCUCGAAAGGGAUGCUAAUACCGCAUACGCCCUACGGGGGAAAGCAGGGGAUCACUUGUGACCUUGCGUUAAUAGAUGAGCCUAAGUCGGAUUAGCUAGUUGGUGGGGUAAAGGCCUACCAAGGCGACGAUCUGUAGCGGGUCUGAGAGGAUGAUCCGCCACACUGGGACUGAGACACGGCCCAGACUCCUACGGGAGGCAGCAGUGGGGAAUAUUGGACAAUGGGGGGAACCCUGAUCCAGCCAUGCCGCGUGUGUGAAGAAGGCCUUAUGGUUGUAAAGCACUUUAAGCGAGGAGGAGGCUCUUCUAGUUAAUACCUAGGAUGAGUGGACGUUACUCGCAGAAUAAGCACCGGCUAACUCUGUGCCAGCAGCCGCGGUAAUACAGAGGGUGCGAGCGUUAAUCGGAUUUACUGGGCGUAAAGCGUGCGUAGGCGGCUUUUUAAGUCGGAUGUGAAAUCCCCGAGCUUAACUUGGGAAUUGCAUUCGAUACUGGGAAGCUAGAGUAUGGGAGAGGAUGGUAGAAUUCCAGGUGUAGCGGUGAAAUGCGUAGAGAUCUGGAGGAAUACCGAUGGCGAAGGCAGCCAUCUGGGCCUAAUACUGACGCUGAGGUACGAAAGCAUGGGGAGCAAACAGGAUUAGAUACCCUGGUAGUCCAUGCCGUAAACGA